This 916-nucleotide ribosomal RNA is filed under the name uncultured bacterium. RNAcentral's name for it is "bacterial SSU rRNA". It matches the Rfam family "Bacterial small subunit ribosomal RNA", at positions 8 to 916 of the family's 1533-position model. The record is from RNAcentral.
AGAGUUUGAUCCUGGCUCAGAUUGAACGCUGGCGGCAUGCUUUACACAUGCAAGUCGAACGGCAGCACGGGUGCUUGCACCUGGUGGCGAGUGGCGAACGGGUGAGUAAUAUAUCGGAACAUGUCCGGAAGUGGGGGAUAACGUAGCGAAAGUUACGCUAAUACCGCAUAUGCCCUGAGGGGGAAAGGGGGGGAUCGCAAGACCUCUCGCUUUCGGAGUGGCCGAUAUCGGAUUAGCUAGUAGGUGAGGUAAAGGCUCACCUAGGCGACGAUCCGUAGCUGGUCUGAGAGGACGACCAGCCACACUGGGACUGAGACACGGCCCAGACUCCUACGGGAGGCAGCAGUGGGGAAUUUUGGACAAUGGGCGCAAGCCUGAUCCAGCCAUGCCGCGUGAGUGAAGAAGGCCUUCGGGUUGUAAAGCUCUUUCAGCUGGAAAGAAAACGUACUUAUUAAUACUAGGUGCGGAUGACGGUACCAGCAGAAGAAGCACCGGCUAACUACGUGCCAGCAGCUGCGGUAAUACGUAGGGUGCGAGCGUUAAUCGGAAUUACUGGGCGUAAAGCGUGCGCAGGCGGCUUUUUAAGCCAGAUGUGAAAUUCCCGGGCUUAACCUGGGAACUGCAUUUGGAACUGGAAGGCUAGAGUGUAGCAGAGGGGGGUAGAAUUCCACGUGUAGCAGUGAAAUGCGUAGAGAUGUGGAGGAAUACCGAUGGCGAAGGCAGCCCCCUGGGCUAACACUGACGCUCAUGCACGAAAGCGUGGGGAGCAAACAGGAUUAGAUACCCUGGUAGUCCACGCCCUAAACGAUGUCAACUAGGUGUUGGGGAAGGAGACUUCUUUAGUACCGCAGCUAACGCGUGAAGUUGACCGCCUGGGGAGUACGGUCGCAAGAUUAAAACUCAAAGGAAUUGAUGG